Molecule: ribosomal RNA, 468 nt
Filed under: uncultured bacterium
Lineage: Bacteria
Description: partial 16S ribosomal RNA
Rfam family: Bacterial small subunit ribosomal RNA
Source: RNAcentral
GACGAACGCUGGCGGCGUGCUUAACACACGCAAGUCGAACGGAAAGGCCCUGCUUUUGUGGGGUGCUCGAGUGGCGAACGGGUGAGUAACACGUGAGUAACCUGCCCUUGACUUUGGGAUAACUUCAGGAAACUGGGGCUGAUACCGGAUAGGAGCUCCUGCUGCAUGGUGGGGGUUGGAAAGUUUCGGCGGUUGGGGAUGGACUCGCGGCUUAUCAGCUUGUUGGUGGGGUAGUGGCUUACCAAGGCUUUGACGGGUAGCCGGCCUGAGAGGGUGACCGGCCACAUUGGGACUGAGAUACGGCCCAGACUCCUACGGGAGGCAGCAGUGGGGAAUAUUGCACAAUGGGCGGAAGCCUGAUGCAGCAACGCCGCGUGCGGGAUGACGGCCUUCGGGUUGUAAACCGCUUUCGCCUGUGACGAAGCGUGAGUGACGGUAAUGGGUAAAGAAGCACCGGCUAACUACGUG